This 442-nucleotide ribosomal RNA is filed under the name uncultured bacterium. RNAcentral describes it as "partial 16S ribosomal RNA". It matches the Rfam family "Bacterial small subunit ribosomal RNA", at positions 338 to 795 of the family's 1533-position model. The record is from RNAcentral.
CCUACGGGAGGCAGCAGUAGGGAAUCUUUCACAAUGGGCGAAAGCCUGAUGGAGCAACGCCGCGUGCAGGAUGAAGGCCUUCGGGUUGUAAACUGCUUUUAUAAGCGAGAAAUAUGAUGGUAACUUAUGAAUAAGGAUCGGCUAACUACGUGCCAGCAGCCGCGGUCAUACGUAGGAUCCGAGCAUUAUCCGGAGUGACUGGGUGUAAAGAGUUGCGUAGGUGGCAUAAUAAGUAGCUAGUGAAAUCUGGUGGCUCAACCAUUCAGACUAUUAGCUAAACUGUUAAGCUCGAGACCGUUAGGGGUAACUGGAAUUUCUAGUGUAGGAGUGAAAUCCGUAGAUAUUAGAAGGAACACCAAUAGCGUAGGCAGGUUGCUGGGACGGUUCUGACACUAAGGCACGAAAGCGUGGGGAGCAAACAGGAUUAGAUACCCGGGUAGUC